This 901-nucleotide ribosomal RNA is filed under the name uncultured Actinobacillus sp. Its description in RNAcentral is "bacterial SSU rRNA". It matches the Rfam family "Bacterial small subunit ribosomal RNA", at positions 74 to 969 of the family's 1533-position model. The record is from RNAcentral. Lineage: Bacteria; Pseudomonadati; Pseudomonadota; Gammaproteobacteria; Pasteurellales; Pasteurellaceae.
AUUAGCUUGCUAAUCUGCUGACGAGUGGCGGACGGGUGAGUAAUGCUUGGGAAUCUGGCUUAUGGAGGGGGAUAACUACGGGAAACUGUAGCUAAUACCGCGUAAUAUCGAGAGAUUAAAGGGUGGGACUUUCGGGCCACCUGCCAUAAGAUGAGCCCAAGUGGGAUUAGGUAGUUGGUUAGGUAAAGGCUGACCAAGCCGACGAUCUCUAGCUGGUCUGAGAGGAUGACCAGCCACACUGGAACUGAGACACGGUCCAGACUCCUACGGGAGGCAGCAGUGGGGAAUAUUGCACAAUGGGGGGAACCCUGAUGCAGCCAUGCCGCGUGAAUGAAGAAGGCCUUCGGGUUGUAAAGUUCUUUCGGUAGCGAGGAAGGCUUGAUGUUUAAUAGACAUUGAGAUUGACGUUAACUACAGAAGAAGCACCGGCUAACUCCGUGCCAGCAGCCGCGGUAAUACGGGGGGUGCGAGCGUUAAUCGGAAUAACUGGGCGUAAAGGGCACGCAGGCGGUGACUUAAGUGAGAUGUGAAAGCCCCGAGCUUAACUUGGGAAUUGCAUUUCAUACUGGGUCGCUAGAGUACUUUAGGGAGGGGUAGAAUUCCACGUGUAGCGGUGAAAUGCGUAGAGAUGUGGAGGAAUACCGAAGGCGAAGGCAGCCCCUUGGGAAUGUACUGACGCUCAUGUGCGAAAGCGUGGGGAGCAAACAGGAUUAGAUACCCUGGUAGUCCACGCUGUAAACGAUGUCGAUUUGGGGGGUUGGGCUUUAAGCUUGGCGCCCGUAGCUAACGUGAUAAAUCGACCGCCUGGGGAGUACGGCCGCAAGGUUAAAACUCAAAUGAAUUGACGGGGGCCCGCACAAGCGGUGGAGCAUGUGGUUUAAUUCGAUGCAACGCGAAGAAC